GGCCUUGUAGCGAAGUAGUCAACGCGUUGCCCUCCGAAGGCAGAGAUCGAGGGUUCAAAUCCCUCCAAGGUCG
Entophlyctis luteolus is the source of this 73-nucleotide non-coding RNA. The record is from the annotation of a GenBank genome assembly. Lineage: Eukaryota; Fungi; Chytridiomycota; Chytridiomycetes; Chytridiales; Chytriomycetaceae.